CCGAGAGGGCUGCUGAGCAGGUUAUUCCGAUAUAAUAAAUUGUAAGAUGUGUUAUCUUCCUC
RNAcentral lists this transfer RNA (62 nucleotides) under Schistosoma mansoni. RNAcentral describes it as "tRNA-Ile". The record is from RNAcentral. Lineage: Eukaryota; Metazoa; Platyhelminthes; Trematoda; Strigeidida; Schistosomatidae.